UCCUUUUAAUGAGCGGACGGCAGCGCCAUUUUAUUGUAUCUCUAGUGCACCGGCGGCUUCCCCGUAGCACUCAACUGCGCCUACACGCCCUCUGCACGUGAGCUGCUCACUGCCUCUCUCUCUUUAACGCGGUGUCCACCUUCACGGGCACAGGCCCAACACCGUGUCGUUCACACUUACCUGCUUUGCUUUCCCUUCUGCUGACAUUUCGCUGUGUAUUCUUUCGUUGACCACACCCGCGCUACGUGCCCCGGCGAAGUCGUUCAUCUGCACCGCAGCGCCCCUCCUUUUGGCUCGCUCCGUCGUCCCUUAUUUUGUCCCGACGCCCGCACCCGCUCUCUCACGGAGGCCACACUCAUGUCGUGCGCGGACGUGCGCCAGAAGGUGUUUCGCGUGCCGGGUAGCAUCGUGCUGUCGGUUGGGCUCUCGUGGGACUUUAUCGGCGCCGACCCGGUCGACCUCGACCUCAGCGCCGUCUGCUUCACGAAGGAGGGCCGCUUUCUGGACGUUGUCUUUUUCAACCACCUCUUCCCAGAAGGCACCGAUGAGACGGCGCUGCGGGCACACCACAUGGUGGACCCCGAGCUGCUGCCCUACAUGUUUCUGAGCGGCGACAGUACAGUCGGCGGCGAGGAUGAGAAUCAGUUACCCGGCCUCGCACUCGCCGCAGGGCGGCGCCACCAGCAGCUGCGGCGGAGAGCAAGGCAUCAGGCGACGGCGCGCGGUGGCAUGUUGGGCACGCGCGACUACACAAACGCCGCAGCGAAUGUGUUUGAUCGCCUCUACGAGGAGGAGCAGCUUGCGGACGUGCAGCGCGCAGCGGAUGAGGCGAUCGGCUAUGACGAGGAUACCGCUGAUGAUGAGGUGGGUGCGGGUCAGCGACCUUUACGGCGUCGUCCGUGCCGUCAUCGCGAGCUUGCCGACGAGGUUCUCACGUUCGUCAUGAGCAAGAUACCGGGUGAGGCGGAUGUCAUCUUCAUCACCGUGUCGAGCUACACGGGCCAAGACUUCACGGUGCUGUCGCGGGCGAAGUUGAUCGUCUACAACGAAUCCACAAGCGAGCGCGUCGGCGUGAUGGACGUGAGGCAGACGACGGAAAACGGCACAGCGAACCUGGCCGCCAUGCUGAUUCGUCUGCCACCGUCGCAAGAGGAGGAGGGGGUGGACGGCACAGAUUGGGGCAGCGUGCACGGCGGCGCCGCAGCGCAGGAGUGGGAUUUGCGGGAGCUCAACGUGCGCACGUUCGGCUACUCCUUUGUCGACACGCUGCCCCUCAUGAUGGACGUGCUUGGCGUGCCGCGCCGGUCACUGCUGGACGUCCUGCAGAACGUGCCGGACUACUCCUUGUCAAAGGUGAAGGCGGGGAUCGCGUCGUGGACACUGUCCGACGUGCGCCUUGGCGUGGGCUGGAGCGGCGAGCACGACAUCGACGCCUUCCUCGUCUUCCUCGACGAAAACCACAACUACGUCGACCACCUGUAUCCGAAGAACGGGAAGCUGCGGUCGAUGGCGCGGGACGCGGCUCGGCACUCCGGCGACGCGCUUUGCGGCUCCAACGCGGCCGGGGAUGAGGAGUUCAUUGAUCUGCUGACGUACCGUGUGCCGGGCAACGUGAGCAGCAUCGUCGUCGGUGCCACAUGGAUGGAGUCGUUCGGCCCCGAAAAGCGGACGUGCAAGUCCAUCUUCGACGUGCCGGACCUGUACCUGCGCCUGCAAAACCGCACCGUGAUGAAUCCGCAUUCCAUGGAGGUCGAUCGCUGGCCGCUCAACCGCGAAGCUCACGACCCGAAGGUCAAGAAGCAGCUACCGACCUCUUACAAGGACGCCGAGAACAAGGAGCAGCCAGUGCGUGCGGUGGUGCUGGGCGCGUUGGUGAAGACUGGCACGCAGCCCUUUGGAGCUCUCUUCCCCAACGGCCGCCGUAUUGAUCAGUACUUUCACAAGCACGGCCGCCCUCUUUCGGUCAGCGGCACCGGCCAGACUCGUAGCGCCUCUGUGACGUCUCGCGCUGACGACGGCGGCGGUGUCGCCAUGUCGGAGUUCGAGGCGGAUCGCGAGGAGGAGGUCCCGCUGUUUCAGUUGGUACCCAUCCACCAGUAUGUCCCGGUCGACCCACGUGAGGGCCUGUCACGCGUGAUCCCGUACUUGCAGUGCAUGAUGGCCUAUGCUGCAACGGUCGAGCGCCACACAAUCGCGGCGGCGCGCCGUCGCGUCGCCGAAGCCGAGGCUGCCCGUCGCGGUAACGCGACGCCGUACUCCGGCGGGGAGAGCAGUGAGGCUGCUCCGCUGGACACGACGGCCGGUACCGCAGACACGCGUCUCGUGCUGAGCCGCGAAAACAACAUGGUGGGCUGGAACCCCGCUACCAGCGCCUCCCUGCGGCGUGGCGGACGUGGCGAGACGACGGUCAAGGCUGCGCGAGAGCAGGCUGCGAGCGACACGGCAGAAACCACGGUGCUGCGCGAUCGUUAUGAGUGCAUGUGGUCAAAGAUGAAGCACUACGACAACCGUACCGACCUUUUCGCGAUUGCCGUACAGUUCUUGGAAGUCGUGGAGGUGCAGCCGCAGAUGCCGGAUCGCUUCCGGUGCCACGGCGAGGCGUGGGUAUUUGGGCAGACCAACUGCAUCGUUCCGGCGCGCGGCAGCGUCUCCGUCUUUGACAACAAGCCGUACCGAUCCCCGGUCCUCGUGGAUCGCGAGAAGCUCGCGUGGGCAGAUGCCAGCAGCAGCAGCAGCGGCUGCGGCUACUUCAUUGUGCACAAGUAUGACAGACUGCGCGUUAUGCUCUUCGAGACGGCGUCCGUCGGCGUGGCAGACUUGGACCUCCUUUCCAUGGACGCCUUGUGGGCCGGCAAGGACAACGUCCGAGAGGGUACUCUCGCAGAUCGAUUCAACCCCGUCGAGUGCAACGUGCGACUUGAAGGCGGUGUCAACGACGCCGGAACCGGCGAGCUCGCCUACAGUGCUGAGGUGCGGCUGCGCGUGUCGCGGGUACCACUCAACGCGGCGAUGAAGAGGCUUCAACAGCAGGCGGACCGAAUCAACGCGCAGCGCGGGCACGUACAGAAAUUGCAGAAUCGGUACGAUGAGCGGUACUACAACGAGCAGUACAAGCCUUGCACCGUUAUGUGAGGUGGAGAGCAUCUCGUCUGUGUUUUGUGUGCAGAGACGCGCGCACACACCUAAUCGUCAUGGCUCUAGCAAGCAAGAAGACUCUGCGUGUGCUGUAGCAGCACCUUCUCAGCCCCUCUGUUUUCUCUCGUCCCUCCCUCGUCUUGGUGCGGCAGCAUCAUUAUCAUUCUCAUUGUCUUCCUUUUUUUUUCAUGUUGUUAGAUGUAGCCCAGCACCGAAGUAUAGCGUCGCUCUUACGCGUUGGCCACGACGUGACGGUGGAGUCUGCUUCGCCUCUCUGUGCAGCGCCCUGUUUAUGUGUCUCCCCAGACGUUCCCGGCAACGGUGCUGCAUCGUCUUUGCGUUGCUCUCCCGCCGCCGUUUUCUUUUUUUCUCGGUGGCUAUUUCGUUUGUUCCUCUCUAGAGGUGCGCCCUAUGUAGGUGCGCUGUCGGUGCCGUGUCCGUGUACUGCGGUCGUUUUCGCCUGAUACAAUGAUUGGCGCCCCGUGCAUGCACAUGGGAGUCCAAAAGCCCAAGAAGAGAGGCAGCAGUGAAUGCGAUCUCAGCGCAGGCGUACUUUGGUGGCUCUCUCGGUGAAGUGAUGCGAUGCGGCAGAUGGUCAUUGUGGGCAAGAGAGCUCACCAGAACACGAAACGAAAUGCCAGCUGCUUCUUCGAGCUAGUUGCUUGGCCCACGCCAGCGCGG
Molecule: unclassified non-coding RNA, 3816 nt
Filed under: Leishmania donovani
Lineage: Eukaryota; Euglenozoa; Kinetoplastea; Trypanosomatida; Trypanosomatidae
Description: gene:LdHU3.31.4730(CDS-product:TerD_domain_contai ning_protein_putative)
Source: RNAcentral